ACAGCCACACCUGCGGCAUAUGGAAGUUCCUGGGCUAGGGGUCAAAUUGGAGCUGCAGCUGGCAGUCUACAUCGCAGCCACAGCCACACCCACACCAGAUUCGAGCCACGUCUGUGAUCUAUACCACAGCUCAUGGCAAUGCCCGAUCCUUAACCCACUGAGCGAGGCUGCAGACGUGGUUCAGACCCCGCACUGCUGUGACCAUGGCAUAGGCCAGCAGCUGCAGCUCCAAUUCGACCCCUAGCGGGGGAAUUUCCAUGUGUCGCGAGUGCAGGCCUAAAAAGACACACACAAAAAAAGGGGUCUAAAAUUUAUAUAUUGAUGUUUUAACCCCUACCUAAUACCUCAGAAUAAGACUGUGUUUGGAGGUAGGGCCUUUAAAAAGUUGGUUAAAGCAAAAUGAGGUCCUACGGGUGGGCCCUAAUCCAAGAUAAGAGAGGAAUAAGACACACAGAGACAUCAGGGUGCUCAGAGACAGAGGAGGUGCUAUGUGAGGACCAAGUGAGAAGAUGGCCGUCUGCAAGCCAAAGUCAGAGGCCCCAGAAGAAACCAAACCUGCCAACACCUUGAUCUUGGACUUCUGGACUUCAGAACCAUGAACAAAUGAAUCCUGUUGUUGCAGCCAUCCAGUCUGUUGUAUUUUGUCAUGGAAAUCUCAAGCAAACGAGGAUACAUUUCAAAACCACUUUGCCUUUUCUAUUUGCUUACAAAGACUUGCAAGGCAUCCAGGUUUCAUAUCUCCUGGGCCACCGGACACAACUGAAGCCAUGCCAGCCUGCAAGUGCUCAGAGGUCCCUCCACCCACAUGGUCUCAGACCACUUGUGGAUUUGGAUUUCACAAAACUUGUAUGAUGUCAUCCCAGUGGCAUCCUAAUUAAGGACUCUGGUACAGAAGAAGACUGCCACAUCGACGACAGAAGCCCACAGGUACACACACAGCCGCAGAGUUAGCUGGGGACAGAUGUGGAGAAAAGCAACUGAAUCCACCUUGAGCAUGAAUGACAAGUCUCCAAUGGUGGGAAAAAGCGGCCAGCAUCCCCCAACGAAAGGCCCCAGCUAUGUAAUUUGGAGUCAUAUUCCUGCUCCAUGUGAUUAAUAAAGACUAUUCCAAAUGGAUCUGGUUCUUUCGAAGGUGGGCAUAUUCUUGCUAUUUGGAAGCAGCCACAUCCACUGCUCACUGAACUUCCUGUCCUGGAAUCUCAUGAGUUUGCACAUGGAGGGUUGUUAAUAAAAGGCUAAGUAGAUAAUUCAAACCUGUGGGUUUGGAAGUCAGUUUGGGUUGCUUAAGCUCUGAUUUUCAAGCUCUUCUUUGGGAAAAGCUUUGGAGGCCCACCGUGUUUUUUUCUGGAUGAUUGCUAAAGUGACAAAGUUCAUGUGAGAGAGUUUAGACAUUGCCAGAUGAAGUGAGCCCAGUGGGGGCCUGGCUGGGUCAUAGCUGGUGUGAUAAGGGCUCUUUCCACCCUGUUUCUCCAUGGCUCUGAGGAGUUCCCCAGAAGGAAUUCUAGCCCAGUUUUGAGCAAGAUCAACUUUGGCAGAAAGCAUGUCCUGAGGGAUUUGGGGGCCAUAUUUAUUUGCAUAUCUAUGUCACAGCAGGCUUGAUCAGGACACACUCACCCUUCCUGCUGAGUUCCAAUCCUCCACCACCUUACUCUUUCACCAGCCAAAGGACACCCAACACCCCCUCUCAAGGACAGUCUGGACUUGCCCACCUCCAUGCACCUGCUGACCUCUGCACUCAGGCAGCCUUCCGUCAUCACCACUGUACGUCCAAAUCCACCUGCCUCUCAAGGUCUGGUCCAGACGCCACCUCUGUCACAAGCACUGCGGUCCCAGCAUAAGCCACUCUCCCCACGGACCUCCAGCUCCCGUGGCUCAAAUCCCCCUUCACUGGUGUCAUUUCCACCAAAAUUCUUUUCUGAUUGACUGUUGCAUCCUCAUCAGAACCUAGAGUGCUUAAUAAAAUAUCUGUGGGUUUUCACCUCAUUCAAAUCCCAUUACUUCUUUGUUGCCGUGUAAAAAUACUUCCCAUAGUGUAUUUUGAUGUUCUUUAUAAUCUACAAUGAUGAUCAUGUCUGCCCUUCUAAGCACUAAAAAUCUUCCAUAAGUCUGUCCUGGUUAUAUGCCUUAACUGAGAAGGGAUUAAAAUGUCACAGUCUCAGAGUUCCCAUGCGGUGUGGCAAGUUAAGAAUCCAGCAUCGUCACCACAGCAGCCAAGGUCUAGGUCACCACUAUGGCUCUGGUGUGAUCCCUGGCCAGAGAACUUCCACAUGCCAUGGGUGCAGCCGAAAAAAAAAAGGAUGAGCCUGUCUGGAGCUGCUGCUUUUUUUUUUUUUUUUUUUUUUUUUUUUGGUCUUUUUUUGUCUUUUCUAAGGCCAAACCUGUGGCAUAUGGAGGUUCCGAGGCUAGGGGUCUAAUUGGAGCUGUAGCUAACGGCUUACACCAGAGCCACAACAAUGCAGGAUCCGAGCCACGUCUGCAACCUACACCACAGUUCACGGCAACACCGGACCCUUAAUCCACUGAGUAAGACCAAGGAUCGAACCUGCAACCUCAAGGUUCCUAGUUGGAUUCAUUAACUACUGAGCCACGACAGGAACUCCAAGCUGCUGCAUUUGAUCCCAACAUAAAGCCUGGGUCUAGGAGAUGUUGUCUCCUGCAUAAGCAUCAAGCCCCAGACCCUGUGACUUCCAAAUCACAGGGCUUGUUUGAACUAUCUACUUAGUCCUUUACUAAGAAUGUCAAAGUGUGAAUUUGUGAGAUCCCAGGACGGGCAGCUCAGGGAGCAGCAGAUUUUGCUGGUUCCAAACAGCAAGAAAUUCCUUUGGUUUAAAAGAACCGGAUCCAACUGGAAUCAGCCUUGUGAAGUGCGAGCCUGGCUCUGCAGUUACUGACCAGCAGUGCUGAGCCGUCCA
RNAcentral lists this long non-coding RNA (2912 nucleotides) under Sus scrofa (pig). Its description in RNAcentral is "lncRNA (ENSSSCG00040019721.1)". Lineage: Eukaryota; Metazoa; Chordata; Mammalia; Artiodactyla; Suidae. The record is from RNAcentral.